AGCUUCAGAUGUGGACACAUAAGUCAACGGUUGGAAAUCCAAAAAAAACUUGGGAGCUAUCAAAGGGUUUCAACAAUAUUUUCUUUGGAUAGGUUGUAUUUUCCCUUGUUCUGUGUGCAAACAUCUUCGAGUA
Lolium rigidum is the source of this 133-nucleotide long non-coding RNA. RefSeq lists it as uncharacterized. The record is from RefSeq and is a predicted model, not a curated record. The transcript has 2 exons. Lineage: Eukaryota; Viridiplantae; Streptophyta; Magnoliopsida; Poales; Poaceae.